CAGGCGGAUCGCCCCAAGCCAGGGGUGCCUGGAGCCUCGUGCUUCACGCAGACUUGGAGACCCAGCCAGGCCCGCGCAGCCGCCACGGACAGCGCCCCCUCUGGCAGGGGCUGGGACUGCACGCAGAGCCGCCGGGGUGGAAUUCUAACAGAAGGAGCUGAACGAACCGAGGAGACAGACACCUACCCGCUCUGACUCCCAGCUUCCACAGUUGAGCCCCCACGUCAUCAAACCUGCCCGUGAGGGUGAGGGCGUGUGUAGACAUCCGGGUACUAGCAAGCGCUGAACAAACACAGCACUCUGACUUCAUUCGUUACGGCUCUUUUUGUCUGCUCACUGUGUCCGGCCUGCCCAGCACCAGGGCUGCCUGAGGGAAGAAGAGACCAAGGCUGGCAGGGGGACCUCCCCGGGGAUCCAGAGCUGACUUCAUUGGCUCCCUCGCCCACCCGCAUGGCGCCCUUUGUCACCGGGAAGCCGAGUCUUGAUGUACAAGGAACAGGGUCUUGCUAUGCAUUCCAGGCUGGCCUUGAAUUCAUGGCAUUCCUCCUGCCUCAGCCUCCCCAGCGCUGGGAAUACAGCUGACUUGCUGUUGGAGGAGGGGCCUGGACAGAAGAGGCGGCUCCCUGUGUGUGCCCAGGAAAGGUUCUACCUCCCUCCGGCUCCUUGCUCAACACCCUCUGCUUCCUGGAUACCUUGAUUCGAGCAGCUGUUCCCCUGCCAGGGCCCUCUUCCAUGCUGUCCUGCCUUGGAGCCAACGGACUACAGACUGAAACCUCUACAAACAUAAGCCAAAAUAAACCUCUGCUCCCACUAGUUGUAGGUGUUGGAUAUGAGAAAGUACUGAAGACACUAGCACGGUGCAAAGCACUCAGUACAUCAAUACAUGCCCACUGAGGUGGUGGCUGAUUGGCGGGACCCUGGGCAAAGGCCUCUGGACGGCUGGAAGGUGAGGCAGAGGGAGCUCCUGCUCCCCCAGAUACACACGGGGCAGGCAGGGGAGGCUGUGCCAAACGCAGCUGUCCCGGGCUUAGUCUGCUUUCUGUUGCUAUCACAAAAUACCUGAGACCAGGUAAUUUAUAAAGAAUGGAAGUUUAUUUGGCUCACAGUUCUGGAGGCUGGAAAGUCCAGAAGCACAGCACUAGGGUCUCCCCAGAGUCCAGUGAGGGCCUCUUACUGCAUACAACACGUGGUGAGGCAGAGCAGCCUCGAGUGGCGUUUCUCUUCCUCUUCUUACAAAGCCACUCAUGCACUGUGGGCUCCUUCUUCUCCUGGUGGCAGCUAAUAUAAUCCUCCAAACACCUUAACAUAUGGAUUUGAGGACUAAGUUUCCAACACACGAGCUCAGCCAUGGUGACCCCCUUCCACCUCCACAAACUUGACCUGAGAGGCUUCCAUGGCUCAGACCCGGAAGGGAAGCAGACAAGAGAUCCAGCAGUGAGCAGGGCGGGAGGACAAGGAGAGGCUUUGAGGCCCUCUGGGAGGAUCCUGAAGCGGUGCCUAGGACACCCAGGUGUGGGGCAGGUGCCUCGGGCUCCUAGUUACCCCUCACACCAGGGCUGUGCCAGGGGCACCUUCUGAGGACAGCUGGCUUUCUGGGUCGACUUCCCUGGAGAAAGGGUGUGGAUGGGCGUGGCUCGGGCCGAGGGGCUAAGCCAGAUCGCUGGGGUUUAUGCCCAGGGUGUGGUGUGAGCCAUUCAUGACUGGGAGGCUUCUAACCAUUUCUAGACCUACACGUGGAAAGCCAGCCCCGGGAAAGGCCUGACCGCCAUGGG
RNAcentral lists this long non-coding RNA (1772 nucleotides) under Heterocephalus glaber (naked mole-rat). Its description in RNAcentral is "lncRNA (ENSHGLG00100029623.2)". The record is from RNAcentral. Lineage: Eukaryota; Metazoa; Chordata; Mammalia; Rodentia; Bathyergidae.